Long non-coding RNA from Dendroctonus ponderosae (mountain pine beetle), 678 nucleotides. RefSeq lists it as uncharacterized. The transcript is spliced from 3 exons. The record is from RefSeq and is a predicted model, not a curated record. NCBI's taxonomy places the organism in Eukaryota, Metazoa, Arthropoda, Insecta, Coleoptera, Curculionidae.
UGUCAUAUUUGACAGUAAAUGGGGCUCCCCAGGCCAUUUCCGUUCCUCGUAAGUUCCUCUAUUAGUAGCAUGUGAACUUUACACUUACAGCUAUAAAAUGGAAGAAUAUACGUGGCCUUUUGCUAGCUUCAAUUUAUUGCAGCAUUAAAAUAGCAGAAUAUUCAAUCUCUCAGAUUGUACGACUGGUAUUAAGCCUACGCCAACAUCCGCAGAGAUGUUGAGAUGUCCACAAGUGUCUGCAAAGAAAACCACCUUGCACAGAUGGGCGGAAGGAAUAAAAUUGCCUAAUAUACCUGUUGACAUGAAGGACUGUAGAUUAGCUAAAGCGAAUGAGACUUUACGCGAACAGGUCAACGAAAGUUCCAGCGCCAAUUGCUUCACAUUAGGUGGACUGCGGCUAAUCGCUUGGGCAAUAACAACAUGGAUUUGCCUGUUAACAAAUUUCUACUUUGCUCAAGUGUUAGAGUAGAACUAGGCGAGUCUCCAGAGCGAGGCGAGCUGUCCCCCAGCAAAGAAGCGAAGAUGCUUCGAAACACAUCCUGCUGUAUUUCCUGCAUGACCUUUUCACGCAUCGACUCAACUUGAAUCAUUGCCGUCAACAACUGCAAAAGCGCUCCUAGUCUGUAUGGAAGUGAAUGUGUAGACAAACAAACACUGCAAGUAACCACAUGCAAACUC